This 2923-nucleotide ribosomal RNA is filed under the name Staphylococcus aureus. RNAcentral's name for it is "23S ribosomal RNA". It matches the Rfam family "Bacterial large subunit ribosomal RNA". The record is from RNAcentral. Lineage: Bacteria; Bacillati; Bacillota; Bacilli; Caryophanales; Staphylococcaceae.
GAUUAAGUUAUUAAGGGCGCACGGUGGAUGCCUUGGCACUAGAAGCCGAUGAAGGACGUUACUAACGACGAUAUGCUUUGGGGAGCUGUAAGUAAGCUUUGAUCCAGAGAUUUCCGAAUGGGGAAACCCAGCAUGAGUUAUGUCAUGUUAUCGAUAUGUGAAUACAUAGCAUAUCAGAAGGCACACCCGGAGAACUGAAACAUCUUAGUACCCGGAGGAAGAGAAAGAAAAUUCGAUUCCCUUAGUAGCGGCGAGCGAAAUGGGAAGAGCCCAAACCAACAAGCUUGCUUGUUGGGGUUGUAGGACACUCUAUACGGAGUUACAAAGGACGACAUUAGACGAAUCAUCUGGAAAGAUGAAUCAAAGAAGGUAAUAAUCCUGUAGUCGAAAAUGUUGUCUCUCUUGAGUGGAUCCUGAGUACGACGGAGCACGUGAAAUUCCGUCGGAAUCUGGGAGGACCAUCUCCUAAGGCUAAAUACUCUCUAGUGACCGAUAGUGAACCAGUACCGUGAGGGAAAGGUGAAAAGCACCCCGGAAGGGGAGUGAAAUAGAACCUGAAACCGUGUGCUUACAAGUAGUCAGAGCCCGUUAAUGGGUGAUGGCGUGCCUUUUGUAGAAUGAACCGGCGAGUUACGAUUUGAUGCAAGGUUAAGCAGUAAAUGUGGAGCCGUAGCGAAAGCGAGUCUGAAUAGGGCGUUUAGUAUUUGGUCGUAGACCCGAAACCAGGUGAUCUACCCUUGGUCAGGUUGAAGUUCAGGUAACACUGAAUGGAGGACCGAACCGACUUACGUUGAAAAGUGAGCGGAUGAACUGAGGGUAGCGGAGAAAUUCCAAUCGAACCUGGAGAUAGCUGGUUCUCUCCGAAAUAGCUUUAGGGCUAGCCUCAAGUGAUGAUUAUUGGAGGUAGAGCACUGUUUGGACGAGGGGCCCCUCUCGGGUUACCGAAUUCAGACAAACUCCGAAUGCCAAUUAAUUUAACUUGGGAGUCAGAACAUGGGUGAUAAGGUCCGUGUUCGAAAGGGAAACAGCCCAGACCACCAGCUAAGGUCCCAAAAUAUAUGUUAAGUGGAAAAGGAUGUGGCGUUGCCCAGACAACUAGGAUGUUGGCUUAGAAGCAGCCAUCAUUUAAAGAGUGCGUAAUAGCUCACUAGUCGAGUGACACUGCGCCGAAAAUGUACCGGGGCUAAACAUAUUACCGAAGCUGUGGAUUGUCCUUUGGACAAUGGUAGGAGAGCGUUCUAAGGGCGUUGAAGCAUGAUCGUAAGGACAUGUGGAGCGCUUAGAAGUGAGAAUGCCGGUGUGAGUAGCGAAAGACGGGUGAGAAUCCCGUCCACCGAUUGACUAAGGUUUCCAGAGGAAGGCUCGUCCGCUCUGGGUUAGUCGGGUCCUAAGCUGAGGCCGACAGGCGUAGGCGAUGGAUAACAGGUUGAUAUUCCUGUACCACCUAUAAUCGUUUUAAUCGAUGGGGGGACGCAGUAGGAUAGGCGAAGCGUGCGAUUGGAUUGCACGUCUAAGCAGUAAGGCUGAGUAUUAGGCAAAUCCGGUACUCGUUAAGGCUGAGCUGUGAUGGGGAGAAGACAUUGUGUCUUCGAGUCGUUGAUUUCACACUGCCGAGAAAAGCCUCUAGAUAGAAAAUAGGUGCCCGUACCGCAAACCGACACAGGUAGUCAAGAUGAGAAUUCUAAGGUGAGCGAGCGAACUCUCGUUAAGGAACUCGGCAAAAUGACCCCGUAACUUCGGGAGAAGGGGUGCUCUUUAGGGUUAACGCCCAGAAGAGCCGCAGUGAAUAGGCCCAAGCGACUGUUUAUCAAAAACACAGGUCUCUGCUAAACCGUAAGGUGAUGUAUAGGGGCUGACGCCUGCCCGGUGCUGGAAGGUUAAGAGGAGUGGUUAGCUUCUGCGAAGCUACGAAUCGAAGCCCCAGUAAACGGCGGCCGUAACUAUAACGGUCCUAAGGUAGCGAAAUUCCUUGUCGGGUAAGUUCCGACCCGCACGAAAGGCGUAACGAUUUGGGCACUGUCUCAACGAGAGACUCGGUGAAAUCAUAGUACCUGUGAAGAUGCAGGUUACCCGCGACAGGACGGAAAGACCCCGUGGAGCUUUACUGUAGCCUGAUAUUGAAAUUCGGCAUAGCUUGUACAGGAUAGGUAGGAGCCUUUGAAACGUGAGCGCUAGCUUACGUGGAGGCGCUGGUGGGAUACUACCCUAGCUGUGUUGGCUUUCUAACCCGCACCACUUAUCGUGGUGGGAGACAGUGUCAGGCGGGCAGUUUGACUGGGGCGGUCGCCUCCUAAAAGGUAACGGAGGCGCUCAAAGGUUCCCUCAGAAUGGUUGGAAAUCAUUCAUAGAGUGUAAAGGCAUAAGGGAGCUUGACUGCGAGACCUACAAGUCGAGCAGGGUCGAAAGACGGACUUAGUGAUCCGGUGGUUCCGCAUGGAAGGGCCAUCGCUCAACGGAUAAAAGCUACCCCGGGGAUAACAGGCUUAUCUCCCCCAAGAGUUCACAUCGACGGGGAGGUUUGGCACCUCGAUGUCGGCUCAUCGCAUCCUGGGGCUGUAGUCGGUCCCAAGGGUUGGGCUGUUCGCCCAUUAAAGCGGUACGCGAGCUGGGUUCAGAACGUCGUGAGACAGUUCGGUCCCUAUCCGUCGUGGGCGUAGGAAAUUUGAGAGGAGCUGUCCUUAGUACGAGAGGACCGGGAUGGACAUACCUCUGGUGUACCAGUUGUCGUGCCAACGGCAUAGCUGGGUAGCUAUGUGUGGACGGGAUAAGUGCUGAAAGCAUCUAAGCAUGAAGCCCCCCUCAAGAUGAGAUUUCCCAACUUCGGUUAUAAGAUCCCUCAAAGAUGAUGAGGUUAAUAGGUUCGAGGUGGAAGCAUGGUGACAUGUGGAGCUGACGAAUACUAAUCGAUCGAAGACUUAAUCAA